CUGCCAGUCGUUUCUCCAUUCACCAAUUCACAGAGAUUUGAAUUUCGACUACUCGAGGUAGCUGAACCUUGGGAAAUCACAAUGCUAUUUACACCAUUUGAAUCGAGUUCCUGCCUGCCCGUGAUACAGCUCAAUUGCCCAAAAGCUUCUGAAGAAACAACACGAGGACUAGUGCUGGUGUUAUGUGAACCUAAAGGAGUAAUGCUUCUUGCUGCUCCAACAGGCAAUCUUUCAGCUACAUCCUUAAGCUACAAAAAGGUGAAACAAUAAGAUAUUUGGUUAUAAUUGAACAUGUCAAUGAGAAUUAUUACGACUGCACAAUACUUUAU
Molecule: long non-coding RNA, 329 nt
Filed under: Linum usitatissimum (flax)
Lineage: Eukaryota; Viridiplantae; Streptophyta; Magnoliopsida; Malpighiales; Linaceae
Description: long non-coding RNA (LUSI_LNC001097)
Source: RNAcentral